Molecule: ribosomal RNA, 399 nt
Filed under: Triticum aestivum (bread wheat)
Lineage: Eukaryota; Viridiplantae; Streptophyta; Magnoliopsida; Poales; Poaceae
Description: partial small subunit ribosomal RNA
Source: RNAcentral
AUGACCAAAGCUCUGACGGAUAAAUAUCUCGGAUUGCCAGCCAUUGUUGGGGCUGACAGAAGUGAUAACUUCCAGUUCCUGGUUGAUAGAGUGUUAAAGAGACUAGUUGGAUGGAAAGAGAAAACUUUGUCUACAGGUGGUAAAGAGGUGCUUCUGAAAGCGAUUGCACAAGCGAUACCAUCAUAUGCGAUGUCUGUUUUUAAAAUCCCAAAACAAAUUUGCAAAGGGAUCACUGAUGGUAUGUCGCAAUAUUGGUGGGGCGAUGAUGCGGAUCAAAGACGGAUGCAUUGGCUAGGUUGGUGGACAAUGUGCAUCCCGAAGAAAUUUGGAGGAAUGGGAUUCAGGGAUAUCCAUUGCCUUAACCUUGCCUUGUUAGCUAAACAAGCAUGGAGACUAUGA